AAUAGAUACCCCGGUAGUCCACGCCGUAAACGAUGAGUGCUAAGUGUUAGAGGGUUUCCGCCCUUUAGUGCUGCAGCUAACGCAUUAAGCACUCCGCCUGGGGAGUACGGCCGCAAGGCUGAAACUCAAAGGAAUUGACGGGGGCCCGCACAAGCGGUGGAGCAUGUGGUUUAAUUCGAAGCAACGCGAAGAACCUUACCAGGUCUUGACAUCCUCUGCCAACCCUAGAGAUAGGGCGUUCCCCCCUCGGGGGACAGAGUGACAGGUGGUGCAUGGUUGUCGUCAGCUCGUGUCGUGAGAUGUUGGGUUAAGUCCCGCAACGAGCGCAACCCUUGAUCUUAGUUGCCAGCAUUCAGUUGGGCACUCUAAGGUGACUGCCGGUGACAAACCGGAGGAAGGUGGGGAUGACGUCAAAUCAUCAUGCCCCUUAUGACCUGGGCUACACACGUGCUACAAUGGAUGGUACAAAGAGCUGCGAACCCGCGAGGGUAAGCGAAUCUCAUAAAGCCAUUCUCAGUUCGGAUUGUAGG
Molecule: ribosomal RNA, 530 nt
Filed under: uncultured bacterium
Lineage: Bacteria
Description: bacterial SSU rRNA
Rfam family: Bacterial small subunit ribosomal RNA
Source: RNAcentral